This is an RNA transcript of Triticum dicoccoides, 2660 nucleotides long. It is a transcript of the gene named DNAJ protein JJJ1 homolog, with no coding region annotated. Lineage: Eukaryota; Viridiplantae; Streptophyta; Magnoliopsida; Poales; Poaceae. The transcript has 5 exons. The record is from RefSeq and is a predicted model, not a curated record.
UAAGCCCACCGUUAUUUACACGGCAACAAGUCUUCCCUGCCUCUUUCCCUGAGCCAGGCCCGCCUCGAAAACCCUAGCGUCGUCGUCGUCGGCGGCGGCCAUGGCGUCGGCGGCGUCCAAGCGCUGCUACUACGAGAUCCUCGGACUCUCCCGAGACUGCUCCCCGACCGACAUCAAGCUCGCGUUCCGGCGCCUCGCGCUUACCCUCCACCCCGACAAGCAGGCCCCGGGCUCCGACGUCGCCGCCGCCACCGCCGCCUUCCAGGAGCUGCAACACGCGCACUCCGUCCUCUCCGACCCCCAGGAGCGCGCCUACUACGACUCCCACCGCUCCCAGAUCCUCUUCGCCGACCCCGUCUCCUCCCGUUCCGGCACCGCCUCCGCCUCACCCGUCCCCGACCUAUUCUCCUUCUUCUCCACCUCCGCCUUUUCCGGCUUCUCUGACUCCGGCCGCGGAUUCUACAAGGUCUACGGCGACGUAUUCGACAAGGUAUACGCCCAGGAGGUCGCCUAUGCCCGCCGCAUGGGCAUCCCCACCGACUCCAUCUCCACGCCGCCGGUCAUUGGCAACCUCGACUCCCCUUACACCCAGGUCACCGCUUUCUACUCCUACUGGCUGGGUUUCGGCUCGGUUAUGGACUUCGGGUGGGCGGCCGAGUGGGACGCAUCCCGUGGGGAGAACCGCCGUGUUAGGAGGCUCAUGGAGGAGGAUAACAAGAAGGCAAUGCGCAAGGCGCGGCGGGAGUAUAACGAUGCUGUGAGAGGGUUGGCUGCCUUCUGUAAGAAGAGAGAUAAGAGGGUGGUUGACAUGGCACUGCGGAAGAAGGCAGAGGAAGAGAAAAAGAAGAAGGAAGAGAUGGAGCGAAAGAAGGCUGAGGAGAAGAAGAAGAAGGAGCGGGCAAUGGCGUAUCAAGAGCCUGAGUGGGCGAGGGUGGACGAGAUCGAGUUAGCCUUUGAGGAAGAGGAUGAUGAGGAGACGAGGGAAAAGGCCAAGGAGGAGCUGUACUGUGUCGCCUGUAAUAAGAAGUUCAAGUCGGAGAAGCAGUGGAAGAACCAUGAGCAGUCAAGGAAGCAUAAGGAUAAGGUGGCUGAUCUGAGGAUGGCCUUUAAGGAGGAGGAGGAGGCUCUAAAGGAAGCCGAGGAGGAGGCAGGAGGUGAGUGGGAAGAAGUUGAUGUGGGGUUCGACUUCAAGCCUGCUAACGAGUCCGAGGAGAGUGAUUGGUCAGAUGCUGCAGAAGAGUUGGCUGAGGAGUUGGACGAGGGCUUGGAGGUGGCGGAUGAAGACAAUGGUAAUAAGGACUUCAAUAAUGGGGAGCAGGAGGUUGGUUCAUAUGAUGAGACAAGUGUGUUGGAGGCGAUGUUGUCAAGCCGUAAGAACAAGAAAAGUGGCUAUGUGGUUCCUCAAGAGGAAGCUCCUUCUGUUGUUACAGAGGAUGAUAACAGUGAAGAUAGAAAUUCUGAAGUUAAGAGUGUCAAGAAGAAAGGACGCCGGAGGCGGGCAUCAAAGAAGGGACAAGAUGAAGGUAGUUAUGCUGAUAGUGGACAUGGUAUGAAGAAUGAUGUUCCGUAUGAGGAAUCUGUGCAUGAUAAUGAUGAAAAUGAUGCUGAUGAUAAGGCGGAAGGUCCACCCACUUCUAAUGAUGACGGCACAUCAGCAAGCGUUGGAAGCCAACAGAACGAAAAGACUGACAAUCCUAAAAAGAACAAAAAGAACAAGAAAGGCGCAGAGAAGAAAACAACUGUUUCUGCUGACCUAAAGUUCACAUCAAAGGGAAAGAAGCAAAAGGAGGUUUCGAAGGCAAGCAAUGAUUGUGAAACAUGUGGAGAUACUUUUGAGUCAAGGAGCAAGUUGUUUUCUCAUUUGGAAGAAACAGGUCAUGCUGUGAUCAAGGCACGACAGAAAAAGCGUUAAGUCAGGUUUUUGGACAUUCAACCCGAACGUUGUUUCUACACCACGUUCUUUUCGCAUGACCCACUUCGCCCCUCUCUCUCUCUCGGGCCGCGGCAAGGCUCACUGGCGGGGGACAAGGGAGUGCUGGCGAUUUGAUGCGGGGCAUCCUAUGGACAUCAUCAUAUCAAGGGCCCGUUUGGCAAGUGACACGUGCAACAUCUACUUUACAUACAUAAAGGUAUUGUCGGAACGCCACAGACGACGAGGAGGAGUGCGAGCGCAAGUGUACAACUACACCAUCCGCGAGGGAAGCGUGGAAGCGAACACGGAAGAAGAUGGAGCUGCGGAGUCUACAAUGUCUGGACGACCCGAAGCCACCGAACGCCCGACACUCUACAGCGCCCGGAUGGCCGACGUCCACUGGACGUCCGACGCACCCUCGACCAGCAGCAGACCAAGUCUACAGCGCCCGGACAACCGUCGAACACCAGACGUCCGACAACCUCCAGCCAUCGGACGUCCGACGCCUACCGAAAAUCCGGUGCCACAUGUCCAGAGCCAAAACGUCGGAAGUCCGACGCCCUCCGGAUGUCCGGACCCUCGAGAGCCACCGGACGACCGACAUCCCUCGGACGUCCGGCACCUACGCAAGCGCAGCCGGGCCAGAUGCCCAUGUAUCCCCUCCUCACUUAUCCCUUUGUGACUUAGACUAUAAAUAGACCUUCCCCUUCUCCUUUCUAGGGUUAGCAUACACUACAAAAAAUUACAC